AUUUUAAAUAAAUUCUGCUCAAUGAAAUUAAUUAAAUAGCCGCAGUAAAUUAACUGUGCUAAGGUAGCAUAAUAAUUAGUUUUUUAAUUAAAAACUAGAAUGAAAGAGAAAAUGAAAAAUUAACUUUUUAAUUAUAAUAAAUAAAUAUAAAUUAAUUUAUAAGUUAAAAAUCUUAUAUAAAAUAAAAAGACAAGAAGACCCUUUAGAAUUUUAUAAAUAAAAAAAUUUAAUAAUUAUAAAUUUGAAUAUUUAUUAAGUUGGGGAGACUAUGAAAUAUUAAAAACUUUCACUUUUUUAAAACAAAAAUAAAUGAAUCUAUAAAUAUCCAGUUAACAGCCGAAUAAAAAACAAAUUACCUAAGGGAUAACAGCGUAAAAUUUCUAAAAAGAUCAAAUUUACAGAAUAAAUUACGACCUCGAUGUUGGAUUAAGAAAAAAUUAUAAAGAAGAAUUUAUAAAAAUUAGGUCUGUUCGACCUUUAAUCUCUU
This 487-nucleotide ribosomal RNA is filed under the name Aleyrodes proletella. RNAcentral describes it as "partial large subunit ribosomal RNA". Lineage: Eukaryota; Metazoa; Arthropoda; Insecta; Hemiptera; Aleyrodidae. The record is from RNAcentral.